This 495-nucleotide ribosomal RNA is filed under the name uncultured bacterium. Its description in RNAcentral is "partial 16S ribosomal RNA". It matches the Rfam family "Bacterial small subunit ribosomal RNA", at positions 28 to 507 of the family's 1533-position model. The record is from RNAcentral.
GACGAACGCUGGCGGCGUGCCUAAUACAUGCAAGUAGAACGCUGAAGGAGGAGCUUGCUUCUCUGGAUGAGUUGCGAACGGGUGAGUAACGCGUAGGUAACCUGCCUGGUAGCGGGGGAUAACUAUUGGAAACGAUAGCUAAUACCGCAUAAGAGUAGAUGUUGCAUGACAUUUGCUUAAAAGGUGCAAUUGCAUCACUACCAGAUGGACCUGCGUUGUAUUAGCUAGUUGGUGGGGUAACGGCUCACCAAGGCGACGAUACAUAGCCGACCUGAGAGGGUGAUCGGCCACACUGGGACUGAGACACGGCCCAGACUCCUACGGGAGGCAGCAGUAGGGAAUCUUCGGCAAUGGACGGAAGUCUGACCGAGCAACGCCGCGUGAGUGAAGAAGGUUUUCGGAUCGUAAAGCUCUGUUGUAAGAGAAGAACGAGUGUGGGAGUGGAAAGUUCACACUGUGACGGUAUCUGACCAGAAAGGGACGGCUAACUACGUG